Molecule: transfer RNA, 73 nt
Filed under: Muntiacus reevesi (Reeves' muntjac)
Lineage: Eukaryota; Metazoa; Chordata; Mammalia; Artiodactyla; Cervidae
Also listed under: 8 other names
Rfam family: tRNA
About the family: Transfer RNA (tRNA) molecules are approximately 80 nucleotides in length. Their secondary structure includes four short double-helical elements and three loops (D, anti-codon, and T loops).
Source: Rfam by way of RNAcentral
UCCCUGGUGGUCCAGUGGUUAAGACUCUGUGCUUCCAAUGCAGGGGAUGAAGGUUUGAUCCCUGGUCAGGGAA